RNAcentral lists this ribosomal RNA (253 nucleotides) under uncultured prokaryote. Its description in RNAcentral is "partial 16S ribosomal RNA". It matches the Rfam family "Bacterial small subunit ribosomal RNA", at positions 524 to 776 of the family's 1533-position model. The record is from RNAcentral.
UACGAAGGGGGCUAGCGUUGUUCGGAAUUACUGGGCGUAAAGCGCACGUAGGCGGAUAUUUAAGUCAGGGGUGAAAUCCCAGAGCUCAACUCUGGAACUGCCUUUGAUACUGGCGACCUGGACCCAAGUAGAGGCGAGUGGAAUUACGAGUGUAGAGGUGAAAUUCGUAGAUAUUCGUAGGAACACCAGUGGCGAAGGCGACUCGCUGGACUUGUGGUGACGCUGAGACGCGAAAGCGUGGGGAGCAAACAGG